CAACUCGACAUAAAACGAAGAAGAAGAAGACGUUUAAAGUUUGCGUCUAUAUCCUCCGAUCUGCAUCGCAAACUCCACACCAACGAAAUGACUUUUUGAAAGCCUUCAUCUUCCAAGCAUCUGAGAAACUCCCACAACAAGAAAGAGAGAGAGAAAUUAAACUCAGAUGAACAACUCACACACACCAGGUCAGACUGGAAAGAUCCGACUGCAUCUCUUGACUUCUCGCCUUUAUUCUUCAUAUUUUGGGUCUGUUUCAGAGUUAAACAGGUCUGAUGGAGGAGACAUGCCGUCAUGUUAAAACAGAGGAGAAAACUGGCUCACUGAAGAGAAAAGACGAAACAUGUUUGACCUGCACUCAGUUUGGACAGAGUCUGGGAUGCCAACAGAGUCUCAGGAAUCACAUGACGAUCCACACUGAAGAGAAACCGUUCACAUGUGAUCAAUGCAGCAAAACCUUUUUGAGGGCUUCAGAGUUAAAGAGCCAUCUUAGAGUUCACACAAAGGAGAAACCUUAUUCCUGUUCUCUGUGUGGAAAGAGAUUUACAUGUCAGUCAAAUUUAAAAGCACAUCAGAAGAUCCACACUGGUGUGAGAGAGUAUGUGUGCUCUGAGUGUGAGAAGACUUUUAUUACAGCUAGACAACUGAAAAGGCACCAGAGGAACCACACUGGAGAGAAACCGUUCUCAUGUGUUCAGUGCGGGACGAGUUUUAAACAUUCGUCAGACCUUAAUAAACACAUGUUGAUCCACACUGGAGACAAAACACACAAAUGUGAUCAAUGCAGCAAGACAUUUUUGAGGGCUUCAGAUCUGAAGGUCCAUCUUAGAGUUCACACAAAGGAGAAACCUUAUUCAUGUUCAUUGUGUGAAAAGAGAUUUACAUGUCAGUCAAGUUUAAAAGCACAUCAGAAGAUCCACACUGGUGUGAGAGAG
Non-coding RNA from Danio rerio (zebrafish), 935 nucleotides. Lineage: Eukaryota; Metazoa; Chordata; Actinopteri; Cypriniformes; Danionidae. The record is from Ensembl.